UGUUUGUUUUGAAUUUUUGGAACGCUGGAAGACUAGAAAUGUUUUUCUUUUAAAAAGAAUAAUAACAGAACAGAUCAAGGCUUAAUGUUUUAUUUUGUAGAUAAUAAAGGGGGCAGGUCUAUCAACAGUAUUUUAUUUGUACCUUUUGAAAAAGCCAACAAAUUCCUUUCAUUAUUCAUUUUAACACAUUCCUGCUCUUUUAAUUUUUAAUUCCAAUAAUUGUGGAAGGGCAAAAUGAUGAACUCGAGAUUUCUGGGUGGAUAUGAUAUCAAUUAGAAUAGAAAAGAAUAGAAUAAUUCUUUAAUUGUCCCACAAGGGGAAAUUUGGUUGUAUCAGUAGCACAAAAAAAAAAAAAAAAAAAAAAAAAAAAAGUAGUAUGCAUCACGUGAUAGAGCGGCUGUGGCGUGCAUGACCUGUCAGCAGUCUGGUUGAGUAUUUGGAGCGUUGCUACCAAACCGGCAUUUCAUCUCCGAGGAAGUUAUCCCAGAGAGAAGUAAAGCAAGUGUAGAUCUGGCUCUUUCUCUCACGGCGAGCGAGAUGAGCCGUGUGGAGAGGAUAAAGGAGGAUCCAAUAGCAGGCAGUUGUGAAGGUGUAAAGGUGAUUUAUUGAAUACCAAGCACAGGGAGGAUAUGGCAAACGAAGAUAAACCAAACUAUACUGGAAAUAACUAAGCUACUGAACACAAACCAGGACAUGAACAUGAAGGAAGAUAGAUGACAGUACAUGAAGGUGACAGCAGGGAGAACACACAGACGAAGCACAGUGGAUACACAGACGGACCAGCAACUACAAUGACAGAAGACGCGACUUAAAUACACACAGAGAAACACAGGGAGAUUACACACAGGUGGUGGACACAGCUGGGAGUAAUUAACGAGAUGAGGGAGGUAAAACUGAACACACUCACAUGAGACGCAGACCUUCACAUUAAAACAGGAAACAAGAAACACUACACAAGAACGCAGACACGACACUGAGACAGACAGAAUAUAACACAUAGAACUCAAUGCUAAACAUGAGACACAGCCAAAGAACAAUCCAUAAACAUGAAUAAACAGAAUAUAGAAUAAAAAUAAUAACCAACAAAUCACAAGGUAACAAAACGAUCAUUUAUGAGCAAACCAAAACAUAAUAAACUUAGAAUGCUGAGCCGUGACAUUUU
Molecule: long non-coding RNA, 1162 nt
Organism: Oreochromis aureus
Lineage: Eukaryota; Metazoa; Chordata; Actinopteri; Cichliformes; Cichlidae
Source: Ensembl